GCUUACGGCCACACUGCCCUAGUUCACGCCCGAUCUCGUUUGAUCUCGGAAGCUAAGAUAGGGUGGGCCUGGUUAGUACUUGGAUGGGAGACCGCUGGGAAUACCAGGUGCUUGUAAGAU
Molecule: ribosomal RNA, 120 nt
Filed under: Scophthalmus maximus (turbot)
Lineage: Eukaryota; Metazoa; Chordata; Actinopteri; Pleuronectiformes; Scophthalmidae
Source: RNAcentral